Molecule: long non-coding RNA, 346 nt
Organism: Hippocampus zosterae (dwarf seahorse)
Lineage: Eukaryota; Metazoa; Chordata; Actinopteri; Syngnathiformes; Syngnathidae
Exons: 2
Source: RefSeq, a predicted model, not a curated record
UUCCACUUUGAGGAGUCGAAUGUCAACCAAAAGGCACCAAACUGGAUGCUGUCUGUGCCAUCUGUUGCAUAUUUGGAGACAAUAAUAAUCCAUGUCGUGGACUGGGGAGAGACACUCGACUAUAUUUUUGGUUUAAAAAAAAAAAAGGGGGGGGGGGGGGGAAACCCUGUUGAGUUUGUGUUUGUUUCCUGCUUUACAUUAUUGCCUACACACUAUUUCAAAGAAACACAGUUAGUCUGACUUGCCUUCAACCAGACAUUUCUCAUAAAAAUGGCUGGUUUAUGUUUGGGUUUUUAUGACUGAUGUGAAGAACAGAUGUGCUGAAUAAAUAAAUAAGGUUUUCAUA